Molecule: non-coding RNA, 136 nt
Organism: Triticum aestivum (bread wheat)
Lineage: Eukaryota; Viridiplantae; Streptophyta; Magnoliopsida; Poales; Poaceae
Source: Rfam
CUUAUACUCCCUUCGUCCGAAAAUACUUGUCAUCAAAAUGGACAAAAAAGAGAUGUAUCUAGAACUAAAAUACAUCUAGAUACAUUCCAUUUUAUUCAUUUUGAUGACAAAUAUUUCCGGACAGAGGGAGUAUCAU